Molecule: long non-coding RNA, 272 nt
Filed under: Ananas comosus (pineapple)
Lineage: Eukaryota; Viridiplantae; Streptophyta; Magnoliopsida; Poales; Bromeliaceae
Description: long non-coding RNA (ACOM_LNC015677)
Source: RNAcentral
AAGGACGGAAAAUUUAGCAACUCAGAGGCACUACAAGUUUGAGAAGAUAUUCGUUCAAUAACCGAGAUAAAAUUAUCAAAUUCCACCAGAGAGAUCGUGAUUGAACAAAAUUGAAUUCAGAAAACUCCUCUCUUUCAAAGUGGCUCCGUGGUUUUUUUUUUUUUUCCCACAGACAUCCUACGUCUUAUACUAUUCAAUCCAAUUUGAAGCGCUAAACAGAAUCAUGACAUACUAUAAUGAUUCAAAAUUAUAAAAGAGAGAGAGAGAGAGAG